Molecule: ribosomal RNA, 381 nt
Filed under: uncultured eukaryote
Lineage: Eukaryota
Description: partial 18S ribosomal RNA
Rfam family: Eukaryotic small subunit ribosomal RNA
Source: RNAcentral
CAAUAGCGUAUAUUAAAGUUGUUGCGGUAAAAAAGCUCGUAGUUGGAUUUCUACCGAAGAUAGCCGGUCGGGUCUUCGACCUUGUAUCUGGUUUUGUCUUUGGUAUCCUCAUAGGGAACGUUUCUGCGCUUUAUUGCGUGGUGCGGUAUCUAUGACUUUUACUUUGAGGAAAUUAGAGUGUUCACGGCAGGCAAACGCCUUGAAUAUAUUAGCAUGGAAUAAUAACAUAGGAUCUUCGUCCUAUUUUGUUGGUUUCUAGGGCUAAGAUAAUGAUUAAUAGGGAUAAUUGGGGGCAUCUGCAUCAACGCGUCAGAGGUGGAAUUCUUGGAUUGCGUUGCGACAAACUACUGCGAAAGCAUUUGCCAAGGAUGUUUUCAUUGA